GCCCCUGUAGCUCAGCUGGAUAGAGCAAUUGACUUCUAAUCAAUAGGUCGCAGGUUCGAAUCCUGCCGGGGAUG
RNAcentral lists this transfer RNA (74 nucleotides) under Planctomycetales bacterium. RNAcentral's name for it is "tRNA-Arg". It matches the Rfam family "tRNA". Rfam says of the family: Transfer RNA (tRNA) molecules are approximately 80 nucleotides in length. Their secondary structure includes four short double-helical elements and three loops (D, anti-codon, and T loops). The record is from RNAcentral. Lineage: Bacteria; Pseudomonadati; Planctomycetota; Planctomycetia; Planctomycetales.